GACGAACGCUGGCGGCGUGCCUAAUACAUGCAAGUCGAACGCAUUUUCUUUCACCGUAGCUUGCUACACCGAAAGAAAGUGAGUGGCGAACGGGUGAGUAACACGUGGGUAACCUGCCCAUCAGCGGGGGAUAACACUUGGAAACAGGUGCUAAUACCGCAUAAUUCCAUUUACCGCAUGGUAGUUGGUUAAAGGGGCCUUUACGAUCCUGCUAGGGCGACCAUCCGUUGCUUUGCUUAGUGGGUGGGGUACCGGCCUACCAAGGCUGCGAAGCAUAGCAGACCAGAGAGGGUAAUCGGCCACACUGGGACGGGGACACGGCCCAGACUCCUACGGGAGACAGCAGUAGGGGAUCUUCAGCGAUGGACGCAAGUCUGACCGAGCAACGCCGCGUGAGUGAAGGAGGUUGUCGGAUUGUAAAACUCUGUUAUUAGAGAAGGUCAAAAAUGUGUGUUAAAAGUGCAUCCCUUGACGGUAUCUAACCAGAAAGCCACGGCUAACUACGUG
This 507-nucleotide ribosomal RNA is filed under the name uncultured bacterium. RNAcentral's name for it is "partial 16S ribosomal RNA". It matches the Rfam family "Bacterial small subunit ribosomal RNA", at positions 28 to 507 of the family's 1533-position model. The record is from RNAcentral.